GCCACCCUAGCUCAGUUGGUAGAGCAGCUGAUUCGUAAUCAGCAGGUCACCGGUUCAAGUCCGGUGGGUGGCU
RNAcentral lists this transfer RNA (73 nucleotides) under Bacteroidota bacterium. RNAcentral describes it as "Bacteroidetes bacterium (activated sludge metagenome) tRNA-Thr". It matches the Rfam family "tRNA". From Rfam's summary of the family: Transfer RNA (tRNA) molecules are approximately 80 nucleotides in length. Lineage: Bacteria; Pseudomonadati; Bacteroidota. The record is from RNAcentral. RNAcentral also lists the same sequence under 2 other names.